Molecule: ribosomal RNA, 484 nt
Filed under: uncultured bacterium
Lineage: Bacteria
Description: partial 16S ribosomal RNA
Rfam family: Bacterial small subunit ribosomal RNA
Source: RNAcentral
AUUGAACGCUCGCGGGAUGCUUUACACAUGCAAGUCGAACGGCAGCGCGGACUUCGGUCUGGCGGCGAGUGGCGAACGGGUGAGUAAUGUAUCGGAACGUGCCCAGUAGCGGUGGAUAACUACGCGAAAGCGUAGCUAAUACCGCAUACGCCCUACGGGGGAAAGCAGGGGAUCGUAAGACCUUGCACUAUUGGAGCGGCCGAUAUCGGAUUAGCUAGUUGGUGAGGUAACGGCUCACCAAGGCGACGAUCCGUAGCUGGUUUGAGAGGACGACCAGCCACACUGGGACUGAGACACGGCCCAGACUCCUACGGGAGGCAGCAGUGGGGAAUUUUGGACAAUGGGGGCAACCCUGAUCCAGCCAUCCCGCGUGUGCGAUGAAGGCCUUCGGGUUGUAAAGCACUUUUGGCAGGAAAGAAACGUCGCGGGCUAAUACCCCGUGGAACUGACGGUACCUGCAGAAUAAGCACCGGCUAACUACGUG